UCAGAAACUAGUUUAUUAAAAACAGUUACUUUGGGAGUAACAAAUACAGAAAACUCCACCUGUGUUUCUGAA
RNAcentral lists this transfer RNA (72 nucleotides) under Pseudocolochirus violaceus. RNAcentral describes it as "tRNA-Pro". Lineage: Eukaryota; Metazoa; Echinodermata; Holothuroidea; Dendrochirotida; Cucumariidae. The record is from RNAcentral.